GAUGAACGCUGGCGGCGUGCCUAAUACAUGCAAGUCGAACGCUGGAAAUCUAGCUUGCUAGAUUGAAGGAGUGGCGAACGGGUGAGUAAUACAUAAGCAACCUACCCACGAAGACUGGGAUAAUCUCUGGAAACGGGGACUAAUACCGGAUAGGUAAUCGGAAGGCAUCUUCUGAUUAUUAAAGGUUAAAAACACUGGUGGAUGGGCUUAUGGCGCAUUAGUUAGUUGGUGAGGUAACGGCCCACCAAGACGAUGAUGCGUAGCCGGCCUGAGAGGGUGAACGGCCACAUUGGGACUGAGACACGGCCCAGACUCCUACGGGAGGCAGCAGUAGGGAAUUUUCGGCAAUGGGGGAAACCCUGACCGAGCAACGCCGCGUAAGUGAUGACGGCCUUCGGGUUGUAAAGCUCUGUUGUAAGGGAAGAACGGUAGAUAGAGAAUAUCUAAAUGACGGUACCUUACCAGAAAGCCACGGCUAACUACGUG
Molecule: ribosomal RNA, 486 nt
Filed under: uncultured bacterium
Lineage: Bacteria
Description: partial 16S ribosomal RNA
Rfam family: Bacterial small subunit ribosomal RNA
Source: RNAcentral